GGAAGAGGUGCGAACAAUCAAAACUGCUAAUUUUUUUUUCUCUGGUUAAACUCCAGGGCUCAUCCG
Molecule: transfer RNA, 66 nt
Filed under: Uranoscopus bicinctus
Lineage: Eukaryota; Metazoa; Chordata; Actinopteri; Uranoscopiformes; Uranoscopidae
Description: tRNA-Ser
Source: RNAcentral